This 79-nucleotide ribosomal RNA is filed under the name Enterococcus mundtii. RNAcentral's name for it is "partial 16S ribosomal RNA". It matches the Rfam family "Bacterial small subunit ribosomal RNA", at positions 249 to 327 of the family's 1533-position model. Lineage: Bacteria; Bacillati; Bacillota; Bacilli; Lactobacillales; Enterococcaceae. The record is from RNAcentral.
UUGGUGAGGUAACGGCUCACCAAGGCCACGAUGCAUAGCCGACCUGAGAGGGUGAUCGGCCACAUUGGGACUGAGACAC